RNAcentral lists this ribosomal RNA (850 nucleotides) under uncultured bacterium. RNAcentral's name for it is "bacterial SSU rRNA". It matches the Rfam family "Bacterial small subunit ribosomal RNA", at positions 8 to 843 of the family's 1533-position model. The record is from RNAcentral.
AGAGUUUGAUCCUGGCUCAGGAUGAACGCUAGCGACAGGCUUAACACAUGCAAGUCGAGGGGCAGCGGUGGUGAAGGCUUGCCUUUACCAGCCGGCGACCGGCGCACGGGUGAGUAACACGUAUGCAACCUGCCUGCCACAGCCGGAUAAUCGGGAGAAAUUCCGUCUAAUACGGCAUAAUGCACCUAUGGGACAUCCUGUUGGUGCCAAAGGUUAAUUCCGGUGGCGGAUGGGCAUGCGUCGCAUUAGUUAGUUGGCGGUGUAACGGACCACCAAGACGACGAUGCGUAGGGGUUCUGAGAGGAAGGUCCCCCACACUGGUACUGAGACACGGACCAGACUCCUACGGGAGGCAGCAGUGAGGAAUAUUGGUCAAUGGGCGGGAGCCUGAACCAGCCAAGUCGCGUGAGGGAUGACGGCCCUAUGGGUUGUAAACCUCUUUUGCCGGGGAGCAAAGUGCCGCACGUGUGCGGUUUGGAGAGUACCCGGAGAAAAAGCAUCGGCUAACUCCGUGCCAGCAGCCGCGGUAAUACGGAGGAUGCGAGCGUUAACCGGAUUUAUUGGGUUUAAAGGGUGCGUAGGCGGACGCUUAAGUCAGCGGUAAAAUUGCGGGGCUCAACCUCGUCGAGCCGUUGAAACUGGGUGCCUUGAGUGGGCGAGAAGUACGCGGAAUGCGUGGUGUAGCGGUGAAAUGCAUAGAUAUCACGCAGAACUCCGAUUGCGAAGGCAGCGUACCGGCGCCCAACUGACGCUGAAGCACGAAGGCGUGGGUAUCGAACAGGAUUAGAUACCCUGGUAGUCCACGCAGUAAACGAUGAAUGCUAGUUGUCCGGGGCGAUUGAUUUCUGGG